RNAcentral lists this ribosomal RNA (510 nucleotides) under uncultured bacterium. RNAcentral's name for it is "partial 16S ribosomal RNA". It matches the Rfam family "Bacterial small subunit ribosomal RNA", at positions 28 to 507 of the family's 1533-position model. The record is from RNAcentral.
GACGAACGCUGGCGGCGUGCUUAACACAUGCAAGUCGAACGAAGAGCGAUGGAAGCUUGCUUCUAUCAAUCUUAGUGGCGAACGGGUGAGUAACGCGUAAUCAACCUGCCCUUCAGAGGGGGACAACAGUUGGAAACGACUGCUAAUACCGCAUACGAUCUAAUCUCGGCAUCGAGGAAAGAUGAAAGGUGGCCUCUAUUUAUAAGCUAUCACUGAAGGAGGGGAUUGCGUCUGAUUAGCUAGUUGGAGGGGUAACGGCCCAACAAGGCGAUGAUCAGUAGCCGGUCUGAGAGGAUGAACGGCCACAUUGGGACUGAGACACGGCCCAGACUCCUACGGGAGGCAGCAGUGGGGAAUCUUCCGCAAUGGACGAAAGUCUGACGGAGCAACGCCGCGUGAGUGAUGACGGCCUUCGGGUUGUAAAGCUCUGUUAAUCGGGACGAAAGGCCUUCUUGCGAACAGUUAGAAGGAUUGACGGUACCGGAAUAGAAAGCCACGGCUAACUACGUG